Gorilla gorilla gorilla (western lowland gorilla) is the source of this 709-nucleotide long non-coding RNA. RefSeq lists it as uncharacterized. The transcript is spliced from 4 exons. NCBI's taxonomy places the organism in Eukaryota, Metazoa, Chordata, Mammalia, Primates, Hominidae. The record is from RefSeq and is a predicted model, not a curated record.
UCCCACACAACCCAAAGGGCUGGUUUCACUCCCACUGUGGCCCACCCCCUACAACAGCACCAAGUCUGUUUUCAGGCAGUGGGCGAGCAGGGCUGAGAGCUUGCCCCAGGCUACCCACUUACCAGCUGCAAAACCAAGUAGGACGUUUGUUCUUCCCAGGCCUGUGGAGUCUGCACACUGAAUUCAUAUCUUUCUCCAAGUCCUGGCCAGGAGACUUCUCAAUCAGUUCAAACUGUUACAAAGUUCAGCUGGAGGUUUCCUGCUCCCUGUGGCCUUUUUCCAGUGCCUCUGACUGCCCCCCCUCCAAGGACUCUGUGAGGCAGGGCAGAAAUGGCUUGCCAGGGGACCCAGUGAGUCCACAGGGCUUUUCCUGCUGCUUCCUCUACCCUGUAUUUUGCUUGGCUCUCUAAAUUGAUUCAACUCCAGCAUUAGAUGUAGUCACAUUUGCAAGAUGGGAGACCUGGAGUUCUGGAGUUCUGGACUAGAGCUGGCAACCUGGAUUCUGCAUACCUGAUUAGGUCUAUAAAAUGUCCUCAGGCAUAUAAAAUCCGUGCAUUAGAAGUCAAUUCUCGAAAGUCAAAACAUCAUAUAGGACUUUUGCUGACCAAAAACUAAAGGCUUCUGAGCAAGAUCACCAUUUGGAGACAGACUUAUCUAAAAUGAAUGAGCUGCUUCCUGUUGUGUUCUGCAAAAUGGGAGAAAGGAGGAC